Molecule: ribosomal RNA, 482 nt
Filed under: uncultured bacterium
Lineage: Bacteria
Description: partial 16S ribosomal RNA
Rfam family: Bacterial small subunit ribosomal RNA
Source: RNAcentral
AUUGAACGCUGGCGGCAUGCCUUACACAUGCAAGUCGAACGGUAACGGGCCUUCGGGUGCUGACGAGUGGCGGACGGGUGCGUAAUACAGCGGAACGCGCCCGAUCGUGGGGGAUAACGGGGCGAAAGCUUUGCUAAUACCGCAUACGACCGCAGGAUGACAGCGGGGGAACGCAAGGCCUUGUCGGGACGGACCGGCCGAAGGCAGAUUAGGUAGUUGGAGGGAUAAAAGCGUACCAAGGCGACGAUCUGUAGCUGGUCUGAGAGGAUGAUCAGCCACACUGGGACUGAGACACGGCCCAGACUCCUACGGGAGGCAGCAGUGGGGAAUUUUGGACAAAGGGCGCAAGCCUGGUCCAGCCAUGCCGCGUGCAUGAUGAAGGCCUUCGGGUUGUAAACUGCUUUUGUACGGAACGAAAAGCCUUCUGUUAAUACAGGAGGGUCAUGACGGUACCGUAAGAAUAAGCACCGGCUAACUUCGUG